This 497-nucleotide ribosomal RNA is filed under the name uncultured bacterium. RNAcentral describes it as "partial 16S ribosomal RNA". It matches the Rfam family "Bacterial small subunit ribosomal RNA", at positions 28 to 507 of the family's 1533-position model. The record is from RNAcentral.
GACGAACGCUGGCGGCGUGCCUAAUACAUGCAAGUUGAGCGAUGAAGAUUGGUGCUUGCCCCAAUUUGAAGAGCAGCGAACGGGUGAGUAACGCGUGGGGAAUCUGCCUUUGAGCGGGGGACAACAUUUGGAAACGAAUGCUAAUACCGCAUAAUAACUUUAAACAUAAGUUUUAAGUUUGAAAGAUGCAAUUGCAUCACUCAAAGAUGAUCCCGCGUUGUAUUAGCUAGUUGGUGAGGUAAAGGCUCACCAAGGCGAUGAUACAUAGCCGACCUGAGAGGGGGAUCGGCCACAUUGGGAAUGGGAAACGGCCCAAACUCCUACGGGAGGCAGCAGUAGGGGAUCUUCGGCCAUGGACGAAAGUCUGACCGAGCAACGCCGCGGGAGUGAAGAAGGUUUUCGGAUCGUAAAACUCUGUUGGUAGAGAAGAACGUUGGUGAGAGUGGAAAGCUCAUCAAGUGACGGUAACUACCCAGAAAGGGACGGCUAACUACGUG